Molecule: long non-coding RNA, 107 nt
Organism: Drosophila navojoa
Lineage: Eukaryota; Metazoa; Arthropoda; Insecta; Diptera; Drosophilidae
Source: RefSeq, a predicted model, not a curated record
AUGAUGAGCAUGAGCGUUCAUAUAUCAUGGGCUAUAUAUGCAUAAUGAAUAUAUUGAUGCUGAUGCUGAUGCUGAUAAUGAUGAUGAUGAUGAUGAUGAUGAUGAUG